RNAcentral lists this ribosomal RNA (468 nucleotides) under uncultured bacterium. RNAcentral's name for it is "partial 16S ribosomal RNA". It matches the Rfam family "Bacterial small subunit ribosomal RNA", at positions 28 to 507 of the family's 1533-position model. The record is from RNAcentral.
GACGAACGCUGGCGGCGUGCUUAACACAUGCAAGUCGAACGGAAAGGCCCUGCUUUUGUGGGGUGCUCGAGUGUCGAACGGGUGAGUAACACGUGAGUAACCUGCCCUUGACUUUGGGAUAACUUCAGGAAACUGGGGCUAAUACCGGAUAGGAGCUCCUGCUGCCUGGUGGGGGUUGGAGAGUUUCGGCGGUUGUGGAUGGACUCGCGGCUUAUAAGCUUGUUGGUGGGGUAGUGGCUGACCAAGGCUUUGACGGGUAGCCGGCCUGAGAGGGUGACCGGCAACAUGGGGACGGAGAUACGGCCGAGACUCCUACGGGAGGCAGCAGUGGGGAAUAUUGCACAAUGGGGGGAAGACGGAUGCAGCAACGCCGCGUGCGGGAGGAAGGGCUUCGGGUUGUAAACCGCUUUCGCCUGUGAAGAAGAGGGAGUGACGGUAACGGGUAAAGAAGCACCGGCUAACUACGUG